Malus domestica (apple) is the source of this 4268-nucleotide non-coding RNA. The record is from RefSeq and is a predicted model, not a curated record. NCBI's taxonomy places the organism in Eukaryota, Viridiplantae, Streptophyta, Magnoliopsida, Rosales, Rosaceae.
GAGAGAGAACUCUAGAAGCUGCCUGAUGGCAGCAGGGGAGAGGAAGAAAAGAAGAGAUGCGGAAAUCAAACGCACAUCAGCAGCAAAGAGGAUUUUCCUUUUCCUCUCCUCCUUCAAAUCUUAUUUUCCUCUUUAAAUUCACUCUGGAACUCCAAAUUUUGUGCAGUUUUGCCCACGAACUCAGACUAUCUCAGCGAGACAAUCUCUACUCUCGAAGGGUGAUAGUCUUUCAGAGAGUGGAUUAGACAGAGAUGGCAAAUCAAGGUACUAAUAAGCGCAAGGAAGAGAAUGCCCGCCACAUGGCCAAUCUCCGUCGCCUCAUCAUGGCCUGUAAUGUUAUUUAUGUGCUAAUGGUGGCUUUGAUAUGACUACUGGUGGAGUAUGCGGCUAUUUGCAUGAUCUCAUCUACAUCACCUGCUCCGUGCAAGUCAUGUCCAUAAUCUCUGGAAAAUUUGGUACACAUAUCUGCUGGUGAGAUCUAUCUAAUUAACCAUUUUUCUUGUUGCCACCCAUUUAUAUAUAUAUAUAUAUAUAUAUAUAUAUAUUACCUGCUUAGAACCUUGCGUGGAUGUUUCCAAUGAGGUGGAGACUCAUCACCAUUAUCAUGUGUUUAUUUACCAGGAAUGAGAAUGUAAGAUUUGGGGAUUAUUCUCAUUCCUGACAUAUCUGCAUUUACUAACACUCAAGGAAUGCAAAUGUUGGGUGUUAGCUUAUGGUAAUUUGCUGCUUUGGUUCUCAAAAGCAAUAUGAUUUGUCAAGUUCUGUGAAUCUGCUAAACAAAAUUAAGUUUUGCCUAACAUAUUCUUUAAUCAAUAGAGAAGUCAAAGAAUACUGUCUCUCUUUUGAAUCUUUGUGAAUAAGGGUAGGAAUGGUAGUAUGGUAUUAAGGGUCUAGGAAUGCAUUUUUGUUAUGGAAUUUGUGAAGUUCAAUAACUCUGUCAAAUUUGGAUUUUGGGCCAAUAUUACGGUUUUCUUAAUUGAUUGUGCUUAAGUUGAUGCAUCAUGCUGGAUAUAUAAUAUGUUCGGAAAUUAAUCUUUAGUCUUAGGAAGUGUAUGUUAUGAUUAGAAUGGUGAUAGCGUCUGUCCACAAGACUAUGAAUGAGUGUGUCAUGUCUUCUCUGUAAAUUUGUUCGGACCUUAUGUCUUGAAACUUUGUUUGGAUGUUGCAUCUUAAUCAAAAUAAAUGAAACCUCUGAGAGGCACUACGGGAUACUAAGUGAAGUCUAGUGGGCCUACAUUGGUUAGAGAGUGACUUGAACAUACAUGAUAUGGUUAUUACCUUGAUUUCUUAUAUUGGUAUUAUCUAUGAAUAUGACUUGGUUUUAUAAUGUGACUUCUAUUGAAUGUGAUUUUAUAUAUUUAGCCAUAGACCUAUGUUUAUUAAACAUGAUUUGGCUUGUGUACUGAUGAUGAUUGUGAUAUGUGAAUUGACUUGCAUAUUUGAAAGGUGGUUGAUUUGCAUAGAUGGUAUGAUAUGAUAAAAUGUGAGUGACUUUAAUAUAUGUGAUAUAGGUGAUUAUCCUGUUUUCAUAACUAUUAUCCUGUGUGGAUAUGAGAUGGUUUUAUGAUUAUGUUUCCUAUAAAAUUAUUAAGUUUUAUAUUGAAGUUUCUGGUGUGGGAUUUGACAUGCAUAUUGGAAAUAUUGUUGUUGUAUGAUUGGCUUAGUGUGAUGAAAUGUGAGGGGUAGUAGUGGACCGUUAACCCAUUGUCAUGGGUUUGUCACUUCGAAACAUGUUUCACCCCUCGUUUCAUUAUUUCAUUUCUCGUUUCGUUGAACCUUUGUAACCUGAGUAACUUGAUCCAUGUUUUGUUUCAUUGAGUGGUUGUUAGGCAUUGUACUCCGUGAUUCCGUUGAGUGAUGAUCCGGAAUCGUAUCCUGGUUUGGAUUCCGUUUAGUGAUGGUCCGGAAUCCCUUCUACUCUGCGGUUCCGUUGAGUGAUGAUCCGGAAUCGUAUCCUGAUUUGGAUUCCGUUGAGUGAUGGUCCAUAAUCCCUUCUACUCUGCGGUUCCGUUGAAUAAUGGUCCGGAAUCUUAUCCUGGUUUGGAUUCCAUUGAGUGAAGGUCCGGAAUCCCCUUUGGUGUCUUGGUUUAGUUAAGUGGUCUGAAAUCCCAUUUUCCAGAGAUGUAGGCUUCGGCCGAACGGCGUCACUGUAGCCCCGCAUUUCAGUGCAUUGGAUGUGUUAUUGAUUGAUAUGGUUUGAAAUGAUGUUUGUUAUGAUUAUUGUAAUUAUGAUUAGAAUUGUUGGCUAUUGUGACUAGAGAAUAUUAUUGUGCUUCGUCGAAUGUUCUUGGGAUGUUGCAUGCCUGAAUUGUGGUUUGUGUGGAGACAUAAUGGUUUAUGUGAUGUGAUGAAAGUUCGAGUGUAUUGAAACGACGAACUACAAAUGGCUUGAUCCUUAUUUAGGGUACGUAGGCAGUCUAACGAGGAGGUUAGAUGCAGCCAUAAAGUAUACACAAAAUUAUUAUGCAUCUGGAUCUUGAAUUAUAUAUUGUUCAUAUCCUAAAGGCGGAGUAUGUUGAGUUACGGGCAUUUAGGGACGUCAUGCGUCGAUCUUGGACGUAUGUCGGGAUCGGGGCGUGACACUUGACCCCGUUGGGCCACCGUAGACGACGAAUCAACGCUGGGAAGCUUUAGGCACCCGCCGACUUUGUGGGAAAAAUUGAUCAUCUUCUGUCCACUUUUGGACUUCAUGGCAGGUAUGAAAGUUGUUCAUCUAUCUGAGAUCUUCAUUUCUGUAAAAUUUGAGAAUUUUUAGAAAUAGUGGAAUUUUCCUGCGAACCGUGGCGGCCAGCCACCACGCGAGGCGGUGCGUGGGCCGAGACCUCAUCUGACCACCUUAGGCUAAUUUUGAAGCCCUGAUUCCAUAUUUGUCAUCCGUUUAGUGAACUUAUGAUGUUUUCAUGUAGUUUCAUAGUUGACCACCUAGUUGGCCGUCAUGGGGUCCUUGCAUGAAUUGACGAUCCAACCGUUGGAUCGUCACCAAACCUUAGAACCUUAUAGUACGUAAUAUUUGAGGAUCAUAGGAAGUUACGGAUUGAGAAACCGUGUAUGGAUCUUCCCGAAUUGAAUUUGUUAGUUCACAAAAUAAAGUGUUGACCUCCACUUAAUUUUGGCAAUUGGCGAAGAUUCGACCAUUGGAUUAUUCUAAAACUUUAGAAUGUUGUUUUAGAAGCAUAAUUUGAAUCUUUGGAAGUUAUGGAUCAGAAAUCUAAGGUACGAAUCUUCCGGAUCGAGUUAUGUAGGGUUGUGGACCCUACCGUUGACCUUUGACCGACGAUUGACUUUUGGUCAAUGAGUUUCAAAUCAUUCUAGAACGACCUUGGGGAUGUGUUUUAUGUCAGUUGUGUGUUCUAUCAAUAAGAAUCCUGAGUUGUGAUUUGAUAUUUGUUCUAGGCAACGUUUGUUCGUGACGUUUUGAUAUUUGUGCUAGGGAGUUAUAACGCGGACUCCAGAUUUUGAAAAAAAUGGGAUCACUUCUUAUGGACUCGUUGAGAAUGAUUCUGAUCUAGUUCAUGGCCUAUUGAAGCAGAAGGCGCUCCGGUGGGAUCCUCACAGACAGAAAAAGAUUAUAGUCAGUUUGAUAAUGAUCGAGUGACAUUGCUUCUUCGGCCCGAACCAAGGAAUCCCUUAGAUAUGAUGCAAAAUGGAUCUUGUUUUUAUCGUUGAUCAGAGAUUUCUCUAUGAACAAUACGAAUCAGAGUUUGAAGAAGGGGAAGAAGUCCUCAACCCACAACGGAUAGAGGAAGAUUUAUUCAAUCACAUAGUUUGGGCUCCUAGAAUAUGUCGCAUUUGGGGCUUUCUAUUUGAUUGCAUUGAAAGGCCCUAUGAAUUGGGAUUUCCCUAUUGGGUCAAGUCAUUUCGGGGCAAGCGGAUCAUUUAUGAUGAAGAGGAUGGGCUUCAAAAGAAUAAUUCAGAGUUCUUGCAAAGUGGAACCAUGCAGUACUAGACACGAGAUAGAUCUUCCAAAGAGCAAGGCUUUUUUUCUAAUAAGCCAAUUCAUUUGGGACCCUGCGGAUCCACUCUUUUUUCCUAUUCAAAGAUCAGCCUGUGUUUUCACAUUGAGAAUUCUUUGCAGAUGAAGAGAUGUCAAAUGGGCUUUUUACUUCCCAAACGGAUCUUGCUACAUCUAUAUAUAAAUGCUAGUUUACCAAGAAUACACAAGAAAGGUACUUCGAAUUGUUAAUUCAUCGCUAUAGAUGGCUUCGAACCAAUAGUUCAUCAUGUAAUUGAUUUUUUUGUUCUAAUACUCCAUCUAAGAGUUAUCAGUA